UACAGAGGUCUCAAGCGUUGUUCGGAUUCAUUGGGCGUAAAGGGUGCGUAGGUGGCGCCGUAAGUCGGGUGUGAAAUUUCGGAGCUUAACUCCGAAACUGCAUUUGAUACUGGCGUGCUUGAGGACUGGAGAGGAGACUGGAAUUCAUGGUGUAGCAGUGAAAUGCGUAGAGAUCAUGAGGAAGACCAGUGGCGAAGGCGGGUCUCUGGACAGUUCCUGACACUGAGGCACGAAGGCCAGGGGAGCAAACGGG
This 253-nucleotide ribosomal RNA is filed under the name uncultured bacterium. RNAcentral's name for it is "partial 16S ribosomal RNA". It matches the Rfam family "Bacterial small subunit ribosomal RNA", at positions 524 to 776 of the family's 1533-position model. The record is from RNAcentral.